GACGAACGCUGGCGGCGUGCUUAACACAUGCAAGUCGAACGGAAAGACCCUGCUUUUGUGGGGUGCUCGAGUGGCGAACGGGUGAGUAACACGUGAGUAACCUGUCCUUGACUUUGGGAUAACUUCAGGAAACUGGGGCUAAUACCGGAUAGGAGCUCCUGCUGCAUGGUGGGGGUUGGAAAGUUUCGGCGGUUGGGGAUGGACUCGCGGCUUAUCAGCUUGUUGGUGGGGUAGUGGCUUACCAAGGCUUUGACGGGUAGCCGGCCUGAGAGGGUGACCGGCCACAUUGGUACUGAGAGACGGCCCAGACUCGUACGGGAGGCAGCAGUGGGGAAUAUUACACAAUGGGCGGAAGCCUGAUGCAGCAACGCCGCGUGCGGGAUGACGGCCUUCGGGUUGUAAACCGCUUUCGCCUGUGACGAAGCGGGAGUGACGGUAAUGGGUAAAGAAGCACCGGCUAACUACGUG
RNAcentral lists this ribosomal RNA (468 nucleotides) under uncultured bacterium. Its description in RNAcentral is "partial 16S ribosomal RNA". It matches the Rfam family "Bacterial small subunit ribosomal RNA", at positions 28 to 507 of the family's 1533-position model. The record is from RNAcentral.